GAUGAACGCUGGCGGCGUGCCUAAUACAUGCAAGUCGAGCGAACGGACGAGAAGCUUGCUUCUCUGAUGUUAGCGGCGGACGGGUGAGUAACACGUGGAUAACCUACCUAUAAGACUGGGAUAACUUCGGGAAACCGGAGCUAAUACCGGAUAAUAUUUUGAACCGCAUGGUUCAAAAGUGAAAGACGGUCUUGCUGUCACUUAUAGAUGGAUCCGCGCUGCAUUAGCUAGUUGGUAAGGUAACGGCUUACCAAGGCAACGAUGCAUAGCCGACCUGAGAGGGUGAUCGGCCACACUGGAACUGAGACACGGUCCAGACUCCUACGGGAGGCAGCAGUAGGGAAUCUUCCGCAAUGGGCGAAAGCCUGACGGAGCAACGCCGCGUGAGUGAUGAAGGUCUUCGGAUCGUAAAACUCUGUUAUUAGGGAAGAACAUAUGUGUAAGUAACUGUGCACAUCUUAACGGUACCUAAUCAGAAAGCCACGGCUAACUACGUG
RNAcentral lists this ribosomal RNA (497 nucleotides) under uncultured bacterium. Its description in RNAcentral is "partial 16S ribosomal RNA". It matches the Rfam family "Bacterial small subunit ribosomal RNA", at positions 28 to 507 of the family's 1533-position model. The record is from RNAcentral.